AAGAGAGCCGUAACACAGGUGCUGCAUGGCUGUCGUCAGCUCGUGUCGUGAGAUGUUGGGUUAAGUCCCGCAACGAGCGCAACCCUUGUCAUUAGUUGCUACAUUUAGUUGGGCACUCUAAUGAGACUGCCGGUGACAAACCGGAGGAAGGUGGGGGAUGACGUCAAGUCCUCAUGGCCCUUAUAGGUAGGGCUACACACGUCAUACAAUGGCUGGUACAGAGGGUUGCCAACCCGCGAGGGGGAGGCCAAUCCCAUAAAACCAGUCGUAGUCCGGAUCGCAGUCUGCAACUCGACUGCGUGAAGUCGGAAUCGCUAGUAAUCGCGGAUCAGAAUGUCGCGGUGAAUACGUUCCCAGGCCUU
RNAcentral lists this ribosomal RNA (362 nucleotides) under uncultured Polaromonas sp. Its description in RNAcentral is "bacterial SSU rRNA". It matches the Rfam family "Bacterial small subunit ribosomal RNA", at positions 1020 to 1382 of the family's 1533-position model. The record is from RNAcentral. Lineage: Bacteria; Pseudomonadati; Pseudomonadota; Betaproteobacteria; Burkholderiales; Comamonadaceae.